RNAcentral lists this ribosomal RNA (253 nucleotides) under uncultured bacterium. RNAcentral's name for it is "partial 16S ribosomal RNA". It matches the Rfam family "Bacterial small subunit ribosomal RNA", at positions 524 to 776 of the family's 1533-position model. The record is from RNAcentral.
GACGUAGGGCGCGAGCGUUGUCCGGAUUUAUUGGGCGUAAAGAGCUCGUAGGCGGCUUGUCGCGUCGACUGUGAAAACCCGCGGCUCAACUGUGGGCUUGCAGUCGAUACCGGCACGCUGGAGGAAGGUAGGGGUGCGCGGAACUUCUGGUGGAGCGGUGAAAUGCGUUGAUAUCAGAAGGAACGCCGGCGGCGAAAGCGGCGCACUGGACCUUUUCUGACGCUGAGGCGCGAAAGCCAGGGGAGCAAACGGG